Molecule: long non-coding RNA, 1552 nt
Organism: Aedes albopictus (Asian tiger mosquito)
Lineage: Eukaryota; Metazoa; Arthropoda; Insecta; Diptera; Culicidae
Exons: 2
Source: RefSeq, a predicted model, not a curated record
UUUAAUGUCUAAAAUCUUUUGCACAAAUUUGCGUAGGACUCUUGUAAAAUAUUUUACACAUUAUUACUUUUAUUUUACAUAGAUUUGCUUGAACAAAACUGCAUUUGGAUGAACUUCACUCGCAUUGAGAAAUCUUUGUGAAUGUGACGCAAAUGUAGGAAUAGUUUUGACAGUGUUUGUUUUGGUUUUAUUUUUCGGUGGGUGGUGAAUUGGGUGGUAAGUAUGCGGCUGAAAGCACGUGGUUUCUCAAACUGUCAACUGCACGCGACUGCACUGUGGCAAUCGGUUGCCUAGGUGUCACUAGUGAAAAUUUACAUAGAAAAUUUGAAUAAAUUUGUUCGAGCUAGAACGUCUGUCUGCGAUAUAGCGAUGGUCAGAUAAAGAUUCUUCAUCUGACACAUGCCAAUUGGUCAGCUCGUGACUAAUUCUGCUAGAGCAAAGCGUUAUAUCUAACACUUCCUCUCUAGCAGAUACCAUGAAGGUUGGGCGGUUGCCUAUGUUAAGUAAUGCAAGAUCUGUACUACUUAAGUACUCCAUCAAACUGGAGCCUCUCAAGUUAAUGUCUGAGCUGCCCCAGAUGAUAUGGUGAGCAUUAGCAUCACUGCCAACAAUUAGCGGAAGGCCUUUUGAAGUGCAGUAUGCGAUGACUUGUUUGAAAGCAUCCGUAGGGGAUGGUUCAUCAUGUGGUAAAUACACAGAACAAUAGACGUAUUUCCUGUUGAGGUUUCCAACAGAUACAUCAAUUGUGAUAGCACAUACAUCUCUGGUGGUUAGUUCAGAGAUGAGUGUAGCAACUAUUGCGUUGUUGACAAGCACACAGGCUCGAGGCAUGACACGCGAGUUUGCCAUUUCAUGUUUACUGAAAGUGGCAAACACCGGGUUCACAAGGUUUCCUAGAUAGAAAUUUCCCUUACGAAAGUAAGGUUCUUGUACCAAGGCCACUUGGGCUGUACCAUUUUGCAUAAGUCUGCAAAGAUUGAUAGUUGCUGUUCUUUUAUGCUGAAGAUUGAUCUGAGCUAUCCUAACCGUAGCCACUACCCAAACUAGGUAAGAUUAAACUCUUCGCAACAGCAGCACAGCAAAGAACAGCAACAAUAAAACCAAAUCGGUAUCGAUUGGAAAACGCCAAAGGCGAGGAUACACAGAAUACACUGUGUAAAUCGCAUAAUGCGAAACCAUAUAGGUGAAAAUUUAAACUAAUUAACAACAUCUUCAUAAUCCCGCCUUUAUUUAGCCUCAAGUGAGACUAAAGAAGGGCAGCUGAUUGUCUCGGAGAAACACAAGGUCCACUGCACCAUUGCUCCGGUUAGCGCAGUAAGGGCUACAUACUGUGGAGGGCGCCCUGGUACUCCACAGGCUCCGUUAGCGGUUAGGUUUUUAUUAGACCCCCCUAGCCAUUCAUUCCUAGGCACGGUAAGCAUAAAGCCGCAUCACACCAUGAAUUAGGGGUCACCUGUUGGUGGAUUCUUACCACCGGAACAGGCGGUCCGUAGUGUUAUUCUUAGCCAAUUGAGACAAUCGCUACCGACACUACACAGCUAUCUAGGCUGAU